UCCUACGGGAGGCAGCAGUGAGGAAUAUUGGUCAAUGGUCGGGAGACUGAACCAGCCAAGCCGCGUGAGGGAUGAAGGUACAGAGUAUCGUAAACCUCUUUUGUCAGGGAACAAAGGCGGGGACGUGUCCCCGGAUGAGUGUACCUGAAGAAAAAGCAUCGGCUAACUCCGUGCCAGCAGCCGCGGUAAUACGGAGGAUGCGAGCGUUAUCCGGAUUUAUUGGGUUUAAAGGGUGCGUAGGCGGGACCUUAAGUCAGCGGUAAAAUUGCGGUGCUCAACGCCGUAGAGCCGUUUAAACUGGGGUU
Molecule: ribosomal RNA, 305 nt
Filed under: uncultured bacterium
Lineage: Bacteria
Description: bacterial SSU rRNA
Rfam family: Bacterial small subunit ribosomal RNA
Source: RNAcentral